GAGGAUAUAGCUCAGUGGUAGAGUGCAUGCUUAGCAUGCACGAGGUCCUGGGUUCGAUCCCCAGUACCUCU
RNAcentral lists this transfer RNA (71 nucleotides) under Camelus dromedarius (Arabian camel). It matches the Rfam family "tRNA". From Rfam's summary of the family: Transfer RNA (tRNA) molecules are approximately 80 nucleotides in length. The record is from Rfam by way of RNAcentral. Lineage: Eukaryota; Metazoa; Chordata; Mammalia; Artiodactyla; Camelidae. RNAcentral also lists the same sequence under 1 other name.